CAAUAGCGUAUAUUAAAGCUGUUGCGGUUAAAAAGCUCGUAGUUGGAUUUCUGUCAAGGACAACUGGUCCGCCCUCCGGGUGAGCACAUAGUUUGGUCUUGACAUCUUGCUGGAAGCUGUUGCUGCACUUGGCUGUGUGGCGCAGUGUUCAGCACUUCCACUUUGAGGAAAUUGGAGUGUUUCAAGCAGGCACAUGCCUUUGGACACAGUAGCAUGGAAUAAUUAGAUUGGGCUUUUGCUCCAAUUUGUCGGUUUCUGGAGCUGAGGUGAGUAUUAAUGGGGAUUGUUGGGGGCAUCCGAAUUUAGCCGUCAGAGGUGAAAUUCUUGGAUCUGCUAAAGACGGACAACUGCGAAAGCGUUUGCCCAGGAUGUUUUCAUUGA
This 381-nucleotide ribosomal RNA is filed under the name uncultured eukaryote. RNAcentral describes it as "partial 18S ribosomal RNA". It matches the Rfam family "Eukaryotic small subunit ribosomal RNA", at positions 592 to 976 of the family's 1831-position model. The record is from RNAcentral.